Molecule: ribosomal RNA, 389 nt
Filed under: uncultured bacterium
Lineage: Bacteria
Description: bacterial SSU rRNA
Rfam family: Bacterial small subunit ribosomal RNA
Source: RNAcentral
AUUGAACGCUGGCGGCAUGCCUUACACAUGCAAGUCGAACGGCAGCACGGGAGCUUGCUCCUGGUGGCGAGUGGCGAACGGGUGAGUAAUACAUCGGAACGUACCCUGAAGUGGGGGAUAACGUAGCGAAAGUUACGCUAAUACCGCAUAUUCUGUGAGCAGGAAAGAGGGGGAUCGCAAGACCUCUUGCUUUAGGAGCGGCCGAUGUCGGAUUAGCUAGUUGGUGAGGUAAAGGCUCACCAAGGCGACGAUCCGUAGCGGGUCUGAGAGGAUGAUCCGCCACACUGGGACUGAGACACGGCCCAGACUCCUACGGGAGGCAGCAGUGGGGAAUUUUGGACCAAUGGGCGCAAGCCUGAUCCAGCCAUGCCGCGUGAGUGAAGAAGGCC